Phasianus colchicus (ring-necked pheasant) is the source of this 1738-nucleotide long non-coding RNA. The record is from Ensembl. NCBI's taxonomy places the organism in Eukaryota, Metazoa, Chordata, Aves, Galliformes, Phasianidae.
CCCCCUCCCGCCCCCCCCCAGGCCUGAAGCGAGGGCUGUGCCUGAAGAUCAACCACUUCCCCGAGGACAUGGAGUACGACCACGACAGCGCCGAGUACCUGCUCCGUGAGUCGCCAUGGCAACCAUCCAGCACCAUGGCAACCAUCCCAGCAUCGCCAUGGCAACCGUCCCAUCACCAUGGCAAUCAUCCCAGCAUCGCCAUGGCAACCAUCCCAGCAACACCAUGGCAACUGCAUUGACAUCACCAUGGCAACGACCUCAGCAUCACCGUGGUGACCACUCCAUCACCAUGGCAACCAUCCCAGCAUCGCCAUGGCGACUACCCUGUCACCAUGGCAACCAUCCUAGCAUCCCCAUAGCAACUGCAUUGACAUCACCAUGGCAACGAACACAGCAUCGCCAUGGCAACCAUCCCAGCAUCACCAUGGCAACCAUCCCAGCAUCCCCAUAGCAACUGUAUUGGCAUCACCAUGGCAACCGCCUCAGUGUCACCAUGGUGACAUCCCAGCAUCACCACAGCAACCACCCCUGACAUCACCAUGGCAACCGCCUGAGCAUCACCAUGGCAACCAUCCCAGCAUCCCCAUAGCAACCGCCCCCCCCGCGGCCACGCCCCUUAGCAACGCGGUUCCCAUGGCAACGCCCCCCUCCCCCAACACCCUCCCUCCACCCCCCCCGGGUAACGGAUCAGGGAUCUGCCUUCUGAUUGGCUGCUGGCCAGGAGAGCCUCCCUGCUGAUUGGCUGCCGGUCUCAGAGCAUGCCUGGCUCUGAUUGGCUCAUGGUGUCCACGGGCUCGGGGAUUCUGUGCUUUGAUUGGCUGUCGCUCCCUUUGCCCUUCACCCACUUCAGAAAACCUCCCUCCUGAUUGGCCUCUGAGCCUCUGUGCUCUGAUUGGCUCCUGACCCCAAAGACCCUCUUCUCCAAUUGGCCGGGGGCUGGGAGAUCCACACAGGUCUCUGAUUGGUUCCUGGCCCUGAAGGGUCUGAUUGGCCAAGGAUGAUGGAUCCCAUUCUGCUUCUGAGCCCUCAUUGGUUGCCACUCUAGAGGUCUCCCAUUGGCUGGAGCUAACAGAUCCCACUCAAAACCUGAGCUCCGAUUGGCAGCCGUGUGUCAGUCUCCUAUUGGCUGAAGCUGGCAUCCCUUGGGAUUCUAUGCAGUCUGAUUGGUCACCUGCUUCCUGAGCUCCCAUUGGCCAGAGCCAACAGAUCUCACUCCAAUCCAGAGCUCUGAUUGGCCAGGCACUUCCUGAGCUCCCAUUCACCAGAACCAACAGAUCCCGCUCUAAUCCUGAUCUCUGAUUGGCCAGCCGUAUGUCAAACUGCUAUUGGCCAUAACCAACAGAUCCCACUCAGUCCCUGAUCUCCGAUUGGCCAGCCACUUCCCGACCUCCCAUUGGCCACAGCCAACAGACCCCAUCCGAUCCAGAGCUCUGAUUGGCCACGCACUUCCUGACCUCCCAUUGGCCACAGCCAACAGACCCCAUCCGAUCCAGAGCUCUGAUUGGCCAUGCACUUCCUGACCUCCCAUUGGCCACAGCCAACAGACCCCAUCCAACCCAGAGCUCUGAUUCUCACCCUCUUCCCCACCUCCCAUUGGCCAAAUCUAACCUUCUCCCCCUCCCCACAUCCCCUCCCCCCCGCCCCCCCCCCUCCCUAACGGCGGGCUCUGAUUGGCUGCCCUCAGGGGUGGUCCGGGCCUCCAGCAUCUUCCCCAUCCUGAGCGCCGUGCUGCUGCUGC